AGUGAACGCUGGCGGUAGGCCUAACACAUGCAAGUCGAACGGCAGCACAGUAAGAGCUUGCUCUUACGGGUGGCGAGUGGCGGACGGGUGAGGAAUACAUCGGAAUCUACUUUUUCGUGGGGGAUAACGUAGGGAAACUUACGCUAAUACCGCAUACGACCUACGGGUGAAAGCAGGGGAUCUUCGGACCUUGCGCGAUUGAAUGAGCCGAUGUCGGAUUAGCUAGUUGGCGGGGUAAAGGCCCACCAAGGCGACGAUCCGUAGCUGGUCUGGGAGGAUGAUCAGCCACACUGGAACUGAGACACGGUCCAGACUCCUACGGGAGGCAGCAGUGGGGAAUAUUGGACAAAGGGCGCAAGCCUGAUCCAGCCAUACCGCGUGGGUGAAGAAGGCCUUCGGGUUGUAAAGCCCUUUUGUUGGGAAAGAAAAGCAGCAGGUUAAUACCCCGCUGUUCUGACGGUGCCCAAAGAAUAAGCACCGGCUAACUUCGUG
Molecule: ribosomal RNA, 492 nt
Filed under: uncultured bacterium
Lineage: Bacteria
Description: partial 16S ribosomal RNA
Rfam family: Bacterial small subunit ribosomal RNA
Source: RNAcentral